This 831-nucleotide ribosomal RNA is filed under the name Salmonella enterica. RNAcentral's name for it is "partial 23S ribosomal RNA". It matches the Rfam family "Bacterial large subunit ribosomal RNA", at positions 357 to 1190 of the family's 2925-position model. Lineage: Bacteria; Pseudomonadati; Pseudomonadota; Gammaproteobacteria; Enterobacterales; Enterobacteriaceae. The record is from RNAcentral.
AUACAGGGUGACAGCCCCGUACACAAAAGCGCAUGUGCUGUGAGCUCGAUGAGUAGGGCGGGACACGUGGUAUCCUGUCUGAAUAUGGGGGGACCAUCCUCCAAGGCUAAAUACUCCUGACUGACCGAUAGUGAACCAGUACCGUGAGGGAAAGGCGAAAAGAACCCCGGCGAGGGGAGUGAAAAAGAACCUGAAACCGUGUACGUACAAGCAGUGGGAGCACAGGUUUACCUGUGUGACUGCGUACCUUUUGUAUAAUGGGUCAGCGACUUAUAUUCUGUAGCAAGGUUAACCGUAUAGGGGAGCCGAAGGGAAACCGAGUCUUAACCGGGCGUUAAGUUGCAGGGUAUAGACCCGAAACCCGGUGAUCUAGCCAUGGGCAGGUUGAAGGUUGGGUAACACUAACUGGAGGACCGAACCGACUAAUGUUGAAAAAUUAGCGGAUGACCUGUGGCUGGGGGUGAAAGGCCAAUCAAACCGGGAGAUAGCUGGUUCUCCCCGAAAGCUAUUUAGGUAGCGCCUCGUGAAUUCAUCUCCGGGGGUAGAGCACUGUUUCGGCUAGGGGGCCAUCCCGGCUUACCAACCCGAUGCAAACUGCGAAUACCGGAGAAUGUUAUCACGGGAGACACACGGCGGGUGCUAACGUCCGUCGUGAAGAGGGAAACAACCCAGACCGCCAGCUAAGGUCCCAAAGUCAUGGUUAAGUGGGAAACGAUGUGGGAAGGCCCAGACAGCCAGGAUGUUGGCUUAGAAGCAGCCAUCAUUUAAAGAAAGCGUAAUAGCUCACUGGUCGAGUCGGCCUGCGCGGAAGAUGUAACGGGGCUAAACCAU